AUGCUUGGACAGGUGAUCGGGAACAAGUGGGACCACUACCUCGAUCUUCUCCAGGCCGAUUACACUGAGGGGGAUGCUCUGGAUGCCUUGGGUUUGGUACGCUACUGCUGCCGCCGUAUGCUCAUGACCCAUGUUGACCUCAUCGAGAAGUUGCUCAACUACAACAGUAAGUUGAUGCUGUUAUGUGACUAUGUAAGCUAUAUUCUGCUGCUUCCUUUGUUAUUUCUUUUGGAACUGACAGUAGUUCAUUUUCAGCCCUGGAGAAGACGGAGACAAGUUGAGUUAAUUGAACCCAUUCUGCCUCGAAACCCUUGUUCCUUUGUAGUUUUCAAGAUGGAUGGUAUGCUGUUUCUUAUGUCAGUGCUUAGGAGGUGCCAAGUGUGA
This 384-nucleotide ribosomal RNA is filed under the name Triticum aestivum (bread wheat). RNAcentral's name for it is "partial small subunit ribosomal RNA". The record is from RNAcentral. Lineage: Eukaryota; Viridiplantae; Streptophyta; Magnoliopsida; Poales; Poaceae.